CGUGGCCUAGUAGGGAAGACGCUGGGCUACUAACCCAAGGGUCGUAGGUUCGAGCCCGGU
RNAcentral lists this transfer RNA (60 nucleotides) under Oxyrrhis marina. Lineage: Eukaryota; Dinophyceae; Oxyrrhinales; Oxyrrhinaceae. The record is from RNAcentral.